UCUCUCCCACUAAUAGUUAUAAUACUUAGAUUAGUAAUAAUGUAACUAACAUAAUUAAUCAUGUUUAGCUUAAAUAUAUUAUAAUUAUAAUAUGAAUAUUUAAAUGGAUUUAAUCAUCUUCUUUCCACUAUCUCAUAAGAAACAAUGGUUAAAUAACCAUUAAAUCUCCUGAUUAAUUACUAUUUAAGUCUUUAAUGCAUUUUUUAAAUUAAAAAUUCAAUAGCGAUUGCACUUUUAUAAUUUAAUCAUUAAAUUAUAAUAAAUGAUUUUCUCAAUUGUACAGGCCCAAAUUUUCCCGGGCCCAUACACAUACAAAACCAAAAAACAAAAACAAAUAAUAAUACAGUCCAAUACAAAAUUACAGCCCAAAUUAAAAAACCUAAACAGACCCAAAAAUAAACCACCAAACCCUAAGCCCAAAAGGGCCCAAAACCUUAACAUUUUUGGCAGAAAAAAUCCCUACUGCUGCCGCCUCCAACAGCCCUAGCCACACACGGCCUUCACCUCCACGCGCGCCGCUCCGCCAAGUUCGCCCCACGUCGCCAUGCCUGCGGAAAAAACGCAGCAAAAUAGAGGUUUUACUGUAUUUUCAGGUAUAAAAACCCAAAUAAACCAUUGUAUUGGGGGAAUACAGUACAGAUAUAGAGAAAAUAGAGAGCAGAAUCCGAAUUUUUCAUAUACAAAACAGUUUUUCAAUUAAAUGAGAACAAUUUUUAUUCUUUUGGAAAGGUGAUUUGCGGCUUUGAUUUUACUAUUUAAGUUUUUUUUUUUACAACAAAAGAAAAAAGAAAGCAAAGAGGGUCGAAGGUACUUGGUUGUGGCUCCUCCGGCCGCCGUUAUUCGUGAUCGAGGCGGAUUAGCAGCAGGGGCCGAUCCAUUUGUGUCCUAACAGAGUGAAAAAGGAAGAAAACCUUCAGAGUGAAAAAGGAAGAAAACCUUUCUUUUUUCUUUUUGAUUUGUAGCAGACGACAUUUGGGGGGGGGGGGGGGGGGAGGGGGAAGGCUUUUAUUUUUUAUGCAAACCAAACGGCGCCUUUUGGAAUAAGGGGGGAUCUGCGCCCUUUUCACCUUAAUUGGUUGAUUUU
This 1084-nucleotide long non-coding RNA is filed under the name Gossypium barbadense (sea-island cotton). Its description in RNAcentral is "long non-coding RNA (GBAR_LNC008441)". The record is from RNAcentral. Lineage: Eukaryota; Viridiplantae; Streptophyta; Magnoliopsida; Malvales; Malvaceae.